GAAAUACAGAAAAGUGGCACAAGUUGUGUGCGGUGCCAAGAUCCUGUGUGUGUUCUUCUACCUUGUGCGUGUGUCCCAUCAAAAUCCAGCCGCUCCGCCGGAUCUGCUGCUCUGGUCGUCGAUCUAUAGAUCCGUUCAUUGUCACCGGUGCCUCCUUCGACGUGACCCCCCUGCGCCUCCGUUCAUGGAUCUAUUUAAUGGCAUGCUCCUGCUUCAUGCCCCUAGCCCUUCCAGAUGCAACCCAUGGUGCCCUAGAGUUGGUUCACUAGAGUUCGGCCUUCCACGCCAUGCCUCCACCCAAGAUCCUAUGAGGACCGAUCUAUGUCCUUUACCGAGAGAUUGGAUUAAUAUUUGGCAUGAGGCGGUGGAGGCGAUGUUGAUCCCUAGAGGCCUAAUAUCCUUCUAAGGGGGUGUUUGGUUCAGGGACUUUUUAGUCCCAGAGACUAGAAAAAGUCCCUAAAAAGUCCCUAGGAACCAAACGGGAGGGACUUUUUCUACAGGGACUAGAAAAACACUCUACUAGAGAGUCUUUUUUGAUUAGUCCCUGGGACUAGAAAAAGUCUUAGGACUUCUGAACCAAACACCCCCUAAUUUGGGAAAGGAUGAACUUGAAGAUUCCUAUUUAUUUCUCUGCUGGUUUAACCAUUCCAGCUAACAUGUACUACAAGAUGCUUAUUGGAUGGACUAGCCAAAAGAUCAAGGAUAGCUAUAGUUCAAAUCCUAUCUAACUUCAAGCAGGGUACUUUCUUGAUAAAGCUUCCAAGUCAACCAUAUGCAAAAAUUAUAAAUGUUCAGUCAGCCUUCAGAAGAAGACCCACACUUCAAUCUUUGGCAUGAGAAGAAAAUUUAGUUUUCUUAUAAUAAAAUUGCUAGAUAGAUCGACUGGAUAUUAUGUCUGCUUGUCCAUUGUGUUGCUUCUGAGCGAAUGUUCUUAUUUGUAGUGUUGAAGAAAAACUUUUGUGAGACCUAUGCACUUUUAAGGAAAUAUGAUAUUUUGCUUCAUUUGCAGUUCCUUUACCGGAACGACAUUGAAGGUUUUCUCACAUUGCAGUUUGCCCCUUUGAGCAUUAUUCAUUAACAAUCCUGGACCUUGUGCACUUUUUUGAACACCUGGUAUGAUUAGCAGUGGGCUCCAUAAAAAAUAUUGUUUACACUUCCAGGGUAUUGCCCUCUCAGAAUUUGUGUUCUUUUUUCAUGUUUGCUAAUGGUGUAGGAACAUAUAUGUUUUGUCGCUAAAUAAAUUGCUCCUGUUGGCUUGUUAGUGCUUAGCACUUGUUCUGCUAUAGUGGAGAACAUGAGAUGUCUACCCUCUCUUAUGCUUUAGUGAAUUCUUACCUGCUUGGAGAUGAUGUCUUUCUCUUGGAGUUGAAUGUUGCUUUAUAGUUUGUACUUUGUACUCAUCGCUUUAUGUGCCCUAUGCUCAUUGGCCUUUUCCUGAUCAUUCCUUAAAUUAUGAUAAGCAUGUUUUCUUUUCGUUCAUUCUACGUGCCUUUGUUUGACGCUUCACUAUCUUCUGUCAUACGACGCUCCAGGUUCAUCUAGCAUCUAGGAUGGUUUGGUCAUAAAUUAAAAUUUUGUUUUCCAUAAUAUGAAAUUCUUCCUUAUACUUGUGUCUUAUAGAAAGUCACUCCUAGCUCGGUUAAUUAUGUAUAUAGUUGCAUUGAUACUAAACUAUGACACCCCUUGUCUUGAGUACCAUGAACUGUUUGUAUUGAAUCAGAAACAUCAUUGGCAAUUCACCGCUUGCAUUUCCCAUCGCAUUUAACUUAUCAACGCUAUUAUUUUCAUGAGCUGACUCCACAACAAUUCAGUUCUUUUACAGACCACUUAUUGUACAAAACAAGAUAUUCCCAGCCUAUGCAGAAGCGGACCGGAAGUCACAAGAAGUGCAUGGGCUAAAGGACACUCCCCUAGCAUACAGUGUUUCCAGAUAGGUUCCCCUCUUGCUUCCAUGAAGCUACCAUCCUAGGUCAGGCGCCACCAUGGAUGACAAAUCCUCUGCAAUGGCAGCCUCGUUUCUCAAGGUACCAACACAUGAUGACCUGCUGGUGAAGGGCCUUCCUCCAGUUAGUUUCCAGCUCUUUCUCAUUUCAUGGUUCUGUUAGGUACUCAGUUUCAUGACCCAUAGCGUACCGAUAUGGAUAUUUUACCUCUCCUUGAAUCAGAGCUAUCUCCCAUCUGUGUCACCAUUAGCAAACAGUUCAUACAUGAGCAAGCUAUAGAAAUAACUGGUGGCACAAUCCAUCAGUUCACCUUCACCAACAUAGGCAGCGACGACUUGGACGUCUCUGUCUCCAUUGACCUGCCCCCGCACAGCCAAAGCAUAUCAGCCACAAAAAAGAAAUUUCACGGACAAUGCGUUGAAUCUACGUGUGUUGCGGCCCUCAUAUACCUGUAGAACACAUGUAUAGUCAUGCGAUGCAAACUUUGCCGAGCUCAAAACAUGCAAAAGAAUACUUCAAGCCGAGAAGUUCUGGUCCUCGGCCCUCUACGAUCGAGCUGAGACUCUGCGUGACCAGCCCUCUUCACUGACUGCAAUCAACCAGGGUCCCCAAUCUAAGGCUAAAGAACGGGUUGCUGUAUUCACUCCUAAGCAUCAGAACACCACACAAAUGAACCAGAUAGUGUCC
This is a long non-coding RNA of Triticum aestivum (bread wheat), 2630 nucleotides long. RefSeq lists it as uncharacterized. The transcript has 6 exons. The record is from RefSeq and is a predicted model, not a curated record. Lineage: Eukaryota; Viridiplantae; Streptophyta; Magnoliopsida; Poales; Poaceae.